GACGAACGCUGGCGGCGUGCUUAACACAUGCAAGUCGAACGAAGUGGCGAACGGGUGAGUAAUACGUGAGUAACCUGCCCUCCUUUUUGGGUUAAGCCUUGGAAACGGGGUCUAAUACCGAAUAAAGGGGGUUGGGCUAGCGGCCUAUCAGCUUGUUGGUGGGGUGAUGGAGUACCACGGCGGUGACGGGUAGCCGGCCUGAGAGGGUGACCGGCGACAUGGGGAAUGGGAUACGGUCCAGAGGGCGACGGGAGGGAGCAAUGGGGGAUAAUGGGCAAAGGGCGAAUGCAGGAUGGAGCGGUGUCGGAAGAGGGAUGAAGGGUUUCGGAUUGUAAACAUCGGGGGCUAUCGAGCGGGUAGGUGGAGAAGAAGCACCGGCUAACUACGUGCCAGCAGCCGCGGUAAUAC
RNAcentral lists this ribosomal RNA (408 nucleotides) under uncultured bacterium. Its description in RNAcentral is "partial 16S ribosomal RNA". It matches the Rfam family "Bacterial small subunit ribosomal RNA", at positions 28 to 526 of the family's 1533-position model. The record is from RNAcentral.